GAUGAAGAACGUAGCGAAAUGCGAUAAGUAAUGUGAAUUGCAGAAUUCAGUGAAUCAUCGAAUCUUUGAACGCAUCUUGCGCUCCUUGGUAUUCUGAGGAGCAUGCCUGUUUGAGUGUCAUUAAAUUCUCAACUACACUGACUUUGAAUUGGUGUGGCUUGGAUUUGGGGGGAAAAUUGUUGUGGGCUUUUUGUAUAGUCUGCUCCCCUGAAAUUGAUUAGCGGUACCUUUGUGGAACUGUCUACAGGUGUGAUAAUUAUCUACAUCUUAGACAUCUGCUGGAAUGCUGCUUUCUAAACCUUACUUGUAUUGACAAUCAUGACCUCUAAUCAGGUAGGACUACCCGCUGAACUUAAGCAUAUCAAUAACGGAGGA
This 375-nucleotide unclassified non-coding RNA is filed under the name soil metagenome. Its description in RNAcentral is "partial contains 5.8S ribosomal RNA, internal transcribed spacer 2, and large subunit ribosomal RNA". The stretch from base 1 to 120 matches the Rfam family "5.8S ribosomal RNA", at positions 35 to 154 of the family's 154-position model. The record is from RNAcentral.